Molecule: long non-coding RNA, 1805 nt
Filed under: Sus scrofa (pig)
Lineage: Eukaryota; Metazoa; Chordata; Mammalia; Artiodactyla; Suidae
Description: lncRNA (ENSSSCG00050021368.1)
Source: RNAcentral
CAAGGCAUAUGGAGGUUCCCAGGCUAGGGAUCUAAUUGGAGCUGUAACUGCCAGCUUACACCACAGCCACAGCAACGCCUGAUCCGAGCCGUGUCUGCAAACUACACCACAGCUCACCACAACGCCAGAUCCUUAACCCACUGAGUGAGGCCAGGGAUCAAACCCGCAACCUCAUGGUUCCUCAUGAUUUGUUUCUGCUUCGCCAUGAUGGGAACUCCCAAUUUGAGAGACAUAAAAGCCCAAGGGUAUUUACAGCUGUCCUUGUCCAUCAUAACAUGUGGGAGGCUCUGCUCCAACAUGGUGGAUCCAAAUGUCCUUGUUGGAAAUACUAUUUGCCACGUGUAAUUCUACUCUGUGUUGUUGGACUCCAGACCAUGAAAAGCAAGUGUCACAGUAUCUCCAAGGCAGGAAACAAUACUUCUACUAUUCAUAUUUCCUAUAAGACAGCACAGACAAAUAAUUUGUAUAAUAUUUUAGAGAAUUAAUAUUAAAUGCCAGUUAGGACCAAACUCUCCAAUCUGGAAUGCCCUUUUGAGGAGGUGAAGACCCCGUGUCAGAAUUUUAUGUUAAUUGUAAUGAGUUAAAAUAUGUGUUCCUUUAUGGUUUUUCCUGAGUCAAUAUAAGUAAAUACAAGCACUGCCAAUGAAGGAACAAAUUUUGACUCAAUAGCAAUACUAAUGAGAAAAGAGUGAAAAAAUAGUCAGACAGAGCGGUGAGGAGAGUAGUGAUUCAAAUGAGACUGUGUACAAGCCUUUGUUUGCUGUUUAAAGCUUCUUUUGAUCUGCAUAUCUGCUGUCAGUCUCUGCUAUGGAAUUUUAAGAAGAUAAUGUUACCAUUGCUUAUUAAAGUAAUUGCAUAUGAAAUCUCCAUCUUGAUAAAACUUAGGCCCUUUCAGAUCUUUUCUGAAUCUAAUUAAAGAAAACUAAAAUGAACUGGUAGCAUGUGUUAACCUAUUAGUAUGACAAGUAACCUAAAUACUGAAAUAUGACAACUUAAAGCAAUAUUUUUCAUAAAUAUAAAACAUUCACUACUUGAGGAUAGAUUCAACCCUAAGAUACCUGGGAAUCUUAGUCAUUGGCAAAGGUAUAAAGAUAACAUAAAAUCAAUCUGCACCUUUUCUUUUCUCCUAAUAUAUACCUGAAAGGGAAAAAUGGUUCUGACUAUAAAUCCACUAGAAAAAAAAAAAAAAAAGAAUUAUCCAUUCCACUUGAGAAAGGAAGCUGAAACCUAAUAAAACACUGUUUAUAUGCUAAUCAGAGAAGAUGCUCUCUGCUCUUGCCACCGGGGGAGUUAGCCAGCAGAUUCAGAACAAGUUGUUCUCAUGAUUCUUGACUACGAAGUAUGGUAAUGACAGGUCAGUUGAAUUCGUAAGCCAGCUGGUUUUAGAAAGCUCUUGGCUGUUUGUAAAGUCAAUCCAUUUUUUUUCUUUUUAAUCUAAGAACAAUGACCUCAAGGAACCUUAACACUUUUCUUCAAAUUUCUGGUAUUGGUAAUCAAAUUUCAGUGGAGCAAUUAUUUUAAAAUUAAGCAUCUGAUCAUGAAAUUUGACCCCAAUAUAGUGGAGAAAGUUGAUAAUUGCGUUUUAAACUGAUGAGGUGCUACCUUAACUGAUUUUUUUUUUGGUGUUCUGGGAAAACCCCAGCAUGUUGGCACCAUAACAUCAUAUAAUUGGACCCUUAGGACUUUUAUGAAGUUUUUUUUUUUUUUUUUGGACGGUUAUUUAUGUUUUUACUAUAUUUAAAUAGUAAAGAAGCCAAAGUUCUAGUUAAAGCAUUAUACCAUAAGACAAAAGCAAAUUAUCUCCA